UGCUCCCCCGCCAAUUCCUUUAAGUUUCAGUCUUGCGACCGUACUCCCCAGGCGGCAAACUUAACGGCUUCCCUGCGGCACUGAGUUAGCAAUAAGCCAACUCAUCACCGAGUCUGCAUCGUUUACAGCUGGGACUACCCGGGUAUCUAAUCCGGUUUGCUCCCCCAGCUUUCAUCCCUCACCGUCGAGCGCGUUCUGGCAAGCCGCCUUCGCCACCGGUGGUCUUCAAUGGAUCAACGGAUUUUACCCCUACCCAUCGAGUACCGCUUGCCUCUCCCGCCUCCUAGCUCUAUAGUAUCUUCCGCAGCCCAUCUGUUAAGCAGGUGGAUUUAACGGAAGACUUGUAGAACCGGCUACGGAUGCUUUAGGCCCAAUAAACGUCCCGACCACUCGGGGUGCUGGUAUUACCGCGGCGGCUGACACCAGACUUGCCCACCCCUUAUUCUGCACCAUUUUUAGAGGUGCCAAAAGAUCUCCUUAACGGAAAUCACUCAGAGUAACCCUGUCAAGCUUUCGCCUAUUGCAGAGGUUUCGCGCCUGCUGCGCCCCAUAGGGCCUGGGCCCUUGUCUCAGUGCCCAUCUCCGGGCUCCUCCUCUCAGAGCCCGUACCGGUUACAGGUUUGGUGGGCCAUUACCUCACCAACAGCCUGAUCGGCCGCAGUCCAAUCCAGGGGCCAUAUAGAUUUAAGUCAUUACCCAUUCCAGAAGUGAUGACCUAUCGCGGUUUAUCCUCAGUUUCCCGAGGUUAUCCACGUCCCCUGGGCAUGUUGACUACGUGUUACUGAGCC
This 788-nucleotide ribosomal RNA is filed under the name uncultured archaeon. Its description in RNAcentral is "partial 16S ribosomal RNA". The record is from RNAcentral.